CAUAAACCUUGGGGUGUUCAUGACUGUCGCCACAAGGAAGAUGCUGGGGUCAUUUGUUCAGGUCCUGCUGUCACCACACUACCACCUGACGUCUCUACAACAUCCGCAGAUCUGACUACACAGGAAAUAAGAG
Notechis scutatus (mainland tiger snake) is the source of this 133-nucleotide non-coding RNA. NCBI's taxonomy places the organism in Eukaryota, Metazoa, Chordata, Lepidosauria, Squamata, Elapidae. The record is from RefSeq and is a predicted model, not a curated record.